Molecule: ribosomal RNA, 460 nt
Filed under: uncultured bacterium
Lineage: Bacteria
Description: partial 16S ribosomal RNA
Rfam family: Bacterial small subunit ribosomal RNA
Source: RNAcentral
CCUACGGGAGGCAGCAGUGAGGAAUAUUGGUCAAUGGACGAGAGUCUGAACCAGCCAAGUAGCGUGAAGGAUGACUGCCCUAUGGGUUGUAAACUUCUUUUAUAUGGGAAUAAAAUGUUCCACGUGUGGGAUUUUGUAUGUACCAUAUGAAUAAGGAUCGGCUAACUCCGUGCCAGCAGCCGCGGUAAUACGGAGGAUCCGAGCGUUAUCCGGAUUUAUUGGGUUUAAAGGGAGCGUAGGUGGAUUGUUAAGUCAGUUGUGAAAGUUUGCGGCUCAACCGUAAAAUUGCAGUUGAAACUGGCAGUCUUGAGUACAGUAGAGGUGGGCGGAAUUCGUGGUGUAGCGGUGAAAUGCUUAGAUAUCACGAAGAACUCCGAUUGCGAAGGCAGUUCACUGGACUGCAACUGACACUGAGGCCCGAAAGUGUGGGUAUCAAACAGGAUUAGAUACCCCAGUAGUC